Nothobranchius furzeri (turquoise killifish) is the source of this 554-nucleotide non-coding RNA. NCBI's taxonomy places the organism in Eukaryota, Metazoa, Chordata, Actinopteri, Cyprinodontiformes, Nothobranchiidae. The record is from RefSeq and is a predicted model, not a curated record.
AGAUUAUUGUUACACGUGAUUUUAUGCUCUUUUAAACAUUUAUAAAUGUGCUGCUUCUUUGUUUUUUACAUAGCCACCCAGAAUAGAGCUCCCAGCCUCAGUGUGUCUGGUGACACCGGGACCAUGACGGAAAUUCAUCUUCCAGAAAGUCCCAGUGCAGCGUCCACACCCCUGAAAAGACCAAGAUGUGAGGUGUCUGCUGUUGAUUCCAGCUUCCACCUCAGUGACAGUGCAAGCUCAGUGAACUGUUCAAGGAGGCUACUGAUUCUGGCCCUGUGACACUUGGUGGUGACGUGUGAGCUGAUUCACCUGGUAAAUAACUUUUACAUUAAAUAUUUUGUUCUUUGCUAUCAAAAGUAAAUUAACUAAUAACCUGCAUUAUUGCAGGACACUCAGCAAAAUAUGGACUCCACACCAUGAGGCAGGCACACGUUAAUACUCUAUAAGAGCACAUAAGCAUGAGGAUGUCCUCACACACCUGUAACCUAUCAGCUCAUCUGGCAGAAUAGAGAGAAGAGACAACACCACAUCUCCUGUUCCUGGAAAGCCUUCAG